This 550-nucleotide small RNA is filed under the name Pan troglodytes (chimpanzee). Its description in RNAcentral is "retained intron". Lineage: Eukaryota; Metazoa; Chordata; Mammalia; Primates; Hominidae. The record is from RNAcentral.
GACAGACAAAGACGAGAAAAGGGCUCUUGCUGUAGGUCUUCUCGCUCAGUUUACCUCACUUUCUGGAAAGGUGCCACUGGCCUCGUGCCACUUGUUAUCUUCCUGGCUAGCCGGUUAGCCCCUUGCCUGUGGGGCCCUUGCCGUGUGCUUGGGAGUCACCUGCUUCAGCCCUGGGAGCUUCAGAGCUGCUCGGCAACCAUUCCUGGGCCACGUGGACUCGCUCCACAGGUGUAGACGGCAAGUGCUGGACAAACGUUGCUUGGCAGGAUUGUUACGUGAGGUGGAAUUUCCGUCCCUCUUGUCUCCCAAGUUUACAGGAAGCUUUUUUUGGACAUUUCUUUUCAGACUCAUUCUGAUGAAGGAAAGAGCAUCCCUGUGCAGCUGCGUGUCCUUCAUUUCUUUGGCUCUGAUUCCGUGUCUGGCUUCAUCUAAGUGGCCUGGUCCAUGGGCAGUGAAGAAAUGUAAAGUGCAAUAGCCCUCUGAAACAAGACAAUCCGUGUGAGAUAAGAAAGAAGAGCCCACAAGACCAAGGAUGUAUUCUCAGUUUACA